RNAcentral lists this long non-coding RNA (444 nucleotides) under Elaeis guineensis (African oil palm). RNAcentral describes it as "long non-coding RNA (EGUI_LNC018822)". The record is from RNAcentral. Lineage: Eukaryota; Viridiplantae; Streptophyta; Magnoliopsida; Arecales; Arecaceae.
ACACCUGCACACGAGGCACAGCCGAGAGAUCGGCCAGAGAACAGAACCCGCGCACAAGGCACAGCCGAGAGAUCGGCCAGAGAACAGGCCAGCACCGAAGAACAAGCAAGAGAGAUCGGCCAGAGAUCAGAGCACGCGCACAAGAGAAGACACAGGCCAGAGAACAGAUCCCGCGCACAAGAGGCACAGGUGAGAGGUCGACUCACAGGUGAGAGGUCGACCCGAGAACAAAGCCUGCGCACACGAGAAAGCAAGGAAAAAUCCCGCACAAGAAGCCCUAGAAAUUUCUCCGCACGCUCUUACCUCUGUUCACCAUUAAAGGAUGCCAGGGGCCUCUUUAUAAAGGAAGAAAACCUUCUCAAAAAAUAGAGUUUCAAUCGGUGUAGAAUUCCUUGAUAUCACGGGAGACGGAAAAGGAAAUAAGAUUUGGAGCCAAAUAUAACA